RNAcentral lists this small RNA (46 nucleotides) under Sinorhizobium meliloti 2011. Its description in RNAcentral is "putative ncRNA". The record is from RNAcentral. Lineage: Bacteria; Pseudomonadati; Pseudomonadota; Alphaproteobacteria; Hyphomicrobiales; Rhizobiaceae.
GUGGAAACGAGAGCCCGCCGCAAAUAUUCUCCCCCACAAGGGGGGA